RNAcentral lists this ribosomal RNA (405 nucleotides) under uncultured eukaryote. Its description in RNAcentral is "partial 18S ribosomal RNA". It matches the Rfam family "Eukaryotic small subunit ribosomal RNA", at positions 592 to 975 of the family's 1831-position model. The record is from RNAcentral.
CAAUAGCGUAUAUUAAUGUUGUUGCAGUUAAAAAGCUCGUAGUUGGAUUUCGAAUGGGAGCGGUGGGUCGGGUCCGCAAGGGCUCGUUACCUGUUUCGUCUCCGGUUCUUUUUCGGGAUGUUUCUGGCGUGGCUGGCAUUGAGUUGUCGGUGGCGUCGGGCCCGUCGUUUACUGUGAACAAAUUAGAGUGUUCAAAGCAAGGUGUGUCUUGAAUACAUUAGCAUGGAAUAAUGAGAUAGGACUUUGGUGGUUUCGGUGAAAGCCGGAUAUUUUGUUGGUUUGCACGCCAAAGUAAUGAUUANUAGGAGCAGUUGGGGGUAUUCGUAUUCAAUUGUCAGAGGUGAAAUUCUUGGAUUUCUAGAAGACGAACUACUGCGAANGNAUUUACNAGGGAUGUUUNCAUUA